UUGCUCCAGACUUUGUUCGAAGUAGAGCCUUGUCGAUGUCCGAUCCAUUAUCACGUAGUAGUGUACAGAGGCCAAUCUAGAUUUAGUUCCUGUUCAGCUCAUGUACCACUACUAAACACUAGCAUACCUCAUCAGACAAUUGUGAAUCAUUUGGGAUAAGGGUAACCCUUUCCUAGAACAUUCUAGCAAUAUCCUUAUAAGGUGGAAUUACAAGAGCUCUAAGACCAUUUUUAGGAUUAUUGGGAGAUAUGCUUCAAGAGUCUCUUAAUAAUCCCACCCUAAUAAUACAUUCACCCCCAAUGACAUGUGGGCCCCUAAGAAGCAAAGGGAUAGAGAUGGCGUAUUGGAGAGGAGGGAUUUUCCCUUUAUUUCGGGACAAGGGGGUUGGGUGUUACUAGCCUCCGUCCCAAAAAAAUAUUGGAAAUGGGGAUUAUUUGGGAGACUAUUGGAGCAGUCCAAACAUCAUGAAAUUUUUUGGGAUUAGAGGUGGUAUUGAGAGUCUGCUGGAGUAGCUUUUAGCUAGCUCAUAACUUGAAAAAUUAUCACAAUACCCUCAAUCUCAGAUGAUAGAGAAAGUAUCUACAGUGAGGGAUUAUACAAGGCAUCUAUGAUGAUUAUAUCAUUAGCAUUUAGUUAGGUUUUUGCCAACAUUUGAUAAAACUUGCCUAGGGGGUUAGUUGAUCAAAUCAUUCACUCACACUUUUCUUAGUUAAGGAGAACUUUACACCUUUUUCUCAAAUAUGGGGAUUGGACCGGCAAAAAAAAAUCUUUCUACAAUCUGUUGACGCGAAAUGAUCACACACCAAACCCGAGAGCCCUGUACGCCAAGAUCAGACUGCACUUGAUUCAAACCAAGACGUGCCAGUCAAUUUGACCUGUAAAUUGACAAGGAAACAACAAACAGUCAAAUUAAAGAGUGUAUCGGCUGGAUUUCCGAAUCACUCUUAUGCACCAUAUCGGCAAAGCUCUGCCGAUACAGAAAACGACAACAGAUCGGGUAUAAAAAAUGUGCAAUAAAAGCGAUCUAUAAGGAAUCGACAGAGAGCUGCCGAUACCGGUAUGCAACUAGCUGGCUAGAUCUCAAGCCGACACGUGUCAGGUAACAAUGUACAAACCAACGAAUGUGUGGAUCUGGACAAAGCUAAGCUUGCAACUGAUCUAAUCAGCUUUAUAAGGUUUAUCGUGAUAAAAAGGAGCUUACAGCCAAUUAAACAGAUCACUAAUCCGUGUAGUUUGUGAAUAGAUCUAAACGAGAAAACAGCGAUGCGCUCGAGAUCAAAGCUUAGAUAAAUUCGAUAAAUUUUGAAUAGAUCUGAACGAAGCCACAGCGAUGUGCCCGGAAGCUAAAGCUCAGAUAUACUCGGUAAACGAAGACCUACCAGCAAACCAAGUCGCUCGAAUGUGAGGCGUCCUUGAUCAGCUUGAAAGAACUCGCAGAAAAAGAAAAAGGGUGGCGAAGUCGCCGACAAGAAAGUAAAUUGCAAGUAGUAAAAUUUAUUUGUUUGGAUGUGUAUCGAUCUUUACAAUAGGCGGGGAGUUCAUAUUUAUACCCCACGCUAACACAAUCCUAGCCGAUUACGGCAAAGCACGAUUUCUAUCUUAAGAAACAAAAACUAUUGUAAUAAACAAAAUACCACUUUCCGAAUCAAGGUCGUCUCAAUCCAAAUAUGUCCAUCAAUGCUGAGACACCUAAUCGGUACGAAAUCAUGACCGAUCCCUUCUUCCUGCAAACCAGCACCAUUUUCGCAGACUGAUAUUUCCUUCCUUAUUCCUUUUUUACGCAUGCCAAAAAAUGGUGUCAAUACAUACCCCCCAGUUUCGGAGUGAAUUAUCCUUUUACUCCAAAAUUAUCCUUUGAAUCAUAAUUAUUUCCUUCAAACGGUUGUCUAAAAAGCGCUUCAUGCCGUUCCCCGUAUCCAGUGUAAACGGCUCACCAAUCCGGAAUCUCCAUCCUGGGGUGGGGUCACCUUAUAAGUACGUCAGCAUACUCUUCCCCCUUUCCUCUUCACAGUUCUACAUCCGGGCCAUCUUUCUCUCUGCUCAAGAACUCAUCUGUUCCGCCGCCUCCGGAUUUCCAGCCGCGUCUUCUCCAAACAUUGAAAGCUUCUCCAAGGUACUGCUAAUGGCUUCCAUCUCCGAGAUCUCCCAGGGUACAAUGACUGUCGGUGUUUACCGUCAAGCCUGCUCAGGGAUACCCUUAGCAGUAAGGUUUGUAGGUAGGGAUCGACUGCUCUAGAUCUCGAUGGUGCAAUGACUUGGAGCAUGUCUUGGAGCUUUUGGUAACACCGGUUGAACCGACGCCAGGAAAGUUGAAUACGUCGGUGCAAUGAACUCAGCAGCUGAGGCAAAAUCUAUACACCGGAUGAACCGACGCUAUAUAUUGGUGAACGUCGGUGCAGUUGUCCAGAAAGUUAGUUUUUUCAGCAACUACACUCACCGGUUAAACCGACGCUGCAUCGGUUGAUUACGUCGGUCGAUUGAGGUAGCCGUUGAAGUAUAACGGCUUGUUGGAAAAUGCACUCACCGGUUAAACCGGUGAUGACAAAAAUGGGAGCAUCGGUUUAACCGGUGAUAGCGCUUUUUGUCAGCCUUUUUUCCAACGGCUAGUUUGGGGUGUGUGGGCUAUAUAUAUGCCACCCCACGGCUCAUUUCAGAGUGCUGGAGACCAAGGAAGCAUACAAGAGUUCAAGAUCAUCUCCAACCACCAUAGAGCUUCAUUGUACAUCAUAUAGGCUUAAGCACACUUGUGAGAGUGCUUAGUGCUUGUUUAGGCUUAGUUCUUGAGAGAACUAGUUUGAGUGAAAGCCUUGCUGCGGCAAGCAUCUUGUGAUCCGUCGUGUGACCCUCCGCUUUGGUGUGGAGAGGCAACGACACUUUAUGCGGGGGAAGAGGAGACCCCCUCCUUGGUGGAGAAGCUCCGUAGUGGAUUUCGGCCGGGUGACCGAGAGAGACAGUGGCGGUGCACGAGACUCGGUGUCUUGUGUGCACUUGCCUUUGCUUGCCGGCAGCGCCUUGGUGGUGUAGUGCAAGACGGUGAUCGGAAGAGCCUCGGUGUCCCGUGGACGUUGGCUUUUGUGCCGAACCACGUUACAUCACUGUGUCCUCUUGGGAGUUUGCAUAUUCUCUCCUUUACCUCUUUACUUACGUAUUACGUUUCCGCAUUUACUCUAUCUUGCGUGCCCUUACUUUCCUAGUUAGUUUGAUUAGGAUUGGCUAUAGGUUGCAAGUCUUUUAGGGGUAAGUAGAGAGUAGCAUAGAUAAACCUUAGUCAUAACUAGCAUGUGUAGGACGUGUUAGGUUUAUCUCAUGCAAAUAGAUUGAGUCCUAGGAUAGAAAGCGAUUAGCGACCCUAUUCACCCCCUCCCCCUCUAGGGUCGGACACCCCGGUGAUCCUUACAUCGAGUCCUGCAGGCAUCGAGUACUUGCCUGGUCGUCUUCGAGUACUUCAAGUAGUCAGAAUGUCUUCUGGGCCUUCCCUCAGAUACAACGAGUAGUCCUCCAAGUACUUCUGGGUGCUCCGAGGCUAUGAGGUGCUCAAGCCCCGAAAUCUUGAUCAUAUAUGGUGCACGAAGUACUCGCGCUCCAUAUGGAGUAGCCCCCGAGCCUUAGGUUGAAUCGCAGAAUCAGGCUGAGGGUCACUUCAGUCUUUUUGCUUUAUUAUUUUCCAAAAAAUUUGAAAAAUAAAUCUCUGAUACACAUAUCCCGCAGCACCCGAGUCUUGAAUUUAAAUCUCUCCAUUUAGAUUUAAGAAUCAAAGAAAACUCGUGGCAGAAUAAGUAAUGAAAACUUUCCUGAAAAGGAAAGAAUCCGUUGAUCUCCCAAAUAUUCAAAAAAUUGCCAUCAGAGACCAUAUAAAUUCGUCUGGUACCUUGUGAGGUUUUUACCCGUUGAACUCCUGGCCGCCGUCAAAUUCAGAUCCAUACUUGCCCACUCCGAGUGUCAUUCGUAGCCCCUCUCGUAGCCCCCGAGCCUAAGCUCGUGACGUUGAGAUGGCUCCCAAAAAGGACAAAUCCAAGGUUGAAGACGAAGCAGUUGCCAAUCUUUCAACUGGUUGGCGCAAAAGCAAAACAUCUGAAUCAGUGGUGCAAGAACAGGAGAAUUUGGGUCUCCUCCAAACUCAGGGCGUGAUCCAAUGGCGUGCAGGCGAAGGAGAAGAUUACCCUAUGGAAGGUACCCUUGAGACCGUUGUGUUCUGUGAUAUCGGGGAACGUGGUCUUGCACUUCCUGUGUCGGAAUUUUUCUAUACUCUUCUACAAUUCUAGGGAAUUCAAUUGCAUCAUUUGACUCUCCAAUCUAUUUUGCAUCUUUCUAUUUUUACUCAUUUUUGCGAAGCAUUCCUUGGUAUUCUUCCCCACUUUCACCUUUUUCAACAUUUCUUCAUCAUUGUUCCCGUCCCGAAUGCCACCAAACCUGCCGUCGUUGGCAGAUGUGAACUGAUACUCCGCCCUGAAACUCAGGACGAGUACUUAGCGUAUGAUCCAGCGGGUAAAGGACUCGAGUGGAAGAAAUUCUGGUUUCAUGUCGGAAACUUUGAAUCUCCACUUCCAGAAAGAGUUCCUGGUGCCCCCCAAGUCCAAGAAAACUGGUCAAGUAAUGGACCUGGUGGCGAGCAAGUUGAUUGCAUCCUCAAAGCCAUUGCGCAUUGGAAAAAUAAAGGAGUCACCGGUGAUCAUGUGGUCUUCUCCUUUGUAAGCCGUCGGGUCUAGCCUCUCCAGCUUCAAAAACAUCCUGCCUUUAGAUAUGAAGGUAUACAAGAUCCCACUAGAGUGUCGCCAAAACCAAUGGCUCAGUCUGAAGUAGUCAAGAGAUGCUGCAAAGUACUCGACAACUUCGACAAGUCUUUGAAGCUUCCAACACUCUUCUGGGCAAAGAACCCUCCCGAGAAUACAUGGGUAAGUGUUUGGGAAACACUGCCCAGUACUUGUAGUUAAAGUUUUUGAUCUUCUGACAAGUUUUCUGCUUUUUUUGGGGAAAUAUUAUAAGUCAUGGUAUUGUAUGCCUCCGACUUCGGUAGAUGCUGCUUCUGAUGAAAGUAAGAAGCGGAAGGCAACUCCUGGAGCUUUGUUGCAGAGAAAGAUUCCUCGUCUCGAUGCUGGCCAGUAAGAGUCUGAUAUUCUUUGAUUUCAUCCUGCUUGCCUCAACUUUCUCAUUUAGAGUCCUGCUUGUCUAGAAUCCAAUAUCUCCCAGCACACGAGAAGGAUCAGAUCAAGAUUUCAGCAACUGGGUACAGAGUGGUCCAGAAACAACUACUUGAUUAGCCCCUGAGUCACUAGUAAUUGGGUUGAUCGAGAACUCAACUGCCAGUAUAUCGGAUGCAGAAACGGCUAGAAUAUCAAAUGAGCCAAACCCUGAAGCACCCGAACAUACUCCUGCGGCUGCUAAAGGUACCUCCAAUGCUGGUGGAACUAGUAGUAGUGGAGGUGAAGGAUCGAGAGGUCCUGCCAUUCGACUAGUACCCUUUCAAUCUAUGCCACAGUCAACCCAAGAAGAGUUAGGAAAGGAACUUUUUGAUGAUCCGCUGUUGUCUGUAGACAACAUAAAGAAGCUCGCUGACUAUAUGCAAUGGAGCUUUAAAUAUACCAAGUAUGUCGCCAAUCGGUCCUUCCUGAAGUCUCAUGCUUUAUAUAAGACUGUUGACAAUCGGAAAAUCUUGGAGCAGCAGAAUGCCCUGAUUGCCAAACGACUAGAUGAACCCCUUGCUGCUCGGAACAAGCUGUAUGAAGCAAACUGAAAGCAUCAUCUAGAACUUUGUGACAUGAAGUGUCAGAUCAAGGGCCUCGAAGAAGAAAGAUCAAAGCUCCAGGCAGAAAAUUCAAAGCUUCAAGAACAGUUGCAGAUUGCUCAAGCUUCAGCUCAGGUCAUUGUGGACAUGGUCGAUUCUGAAGAGGGGUCGUCGAAUAGCAAGUCCUUGGUAGAGGCUCCCAAGAAGAUCUUUGAUGUCAUGACGGCUACCUCCAAGAACUAUCUGACCCACAUGAUAGGAGUUGUCAAGUCUUACUUGCCUCAGUUUAAUUUAGCUCCCAUAACUAAAGGAAUAGCUCCCGAUUGUUCUGAUGAGACAUUCCGGAACUAUUGUAAAGAAUCAGAAGUGAUCGCUGAGGAAAUUUUGAAUAACUUGGCAGAGUAAACUUCUUGUAACAAGUCUUGUAAUCUUCAGUAAGAUUUUGACGUUGUAUAUACCUUUUAUCCUGUUGGUGUGUCUUCA
Molecule: long non-coding RNA, 6205 nt
Organism: Panicum virgatum (switchgrass)
Lineage: Eukaryota; Viridiplantae; Streptophyta; Magnoliopsida; Poales; Poaceae
Exons: 3
Source: RefSeq, a predicted model, not a curated record